This is a long non-coding RNA of Cotesia glomerata, 99 nucleotides long. RefSeq lists it as uncharacterized. Lineage: Eukaryota; Metazoa; Arthropoda; Insecta; Hymenoptera; Braconidae. The record is from RefSeq and is a predicted model, not a curated record. The transcript has 3 exons.
CCACGUUUUGAGGUCCCAGGAAGCCAUUCUGACUAUUCUUGCCGAGAUGUCCGGCCGUGUGUGUGUGUGUGUGUGUGUGUAUUAAUAGAUGUUUGUCGU